Molecule: long non-coding RNA, 317 nt
Filed under: Manihot esculenta (cassava)
Lineage: Eukaryota; Viridiplantae; Streptophyta; Magnoliopsida; Malpighiales; Euphorbiaceae
Description: long non-coding RNA (MESC_LNC007594)
Source: RNAcentral
UUCAUAAAACUUGUUUAAAACGCAUAAUAAGGGUGGAUCCGAGCUUACCUCUUGAAGAAACGAGAGGGAAGACGAUCCUAGCUUGGAGAUGAAGAGAUUGAGCUCCUUGAACCUCCAAGCACCCAAAACUUGCUCUUUGCUCACAAAUCUUCAAAAUUGAAGUUAAAACUCGUGAAAACCAUGAAAGAUCUAGGGAAAACACUCAAGAUUGAGGGAGGAGCGGCGGAGACUCACCUUGGCCGACAAUGGGAGAGAAAAAGCUCGCCCGUGCGGACCAAAGGGACCCUUUUAUAUGUGGCUGGCCAGGCCACGUUCGG